RNAcentral lists this long non-coding RNA (308 nucleotides) under Dromaius novaehollandiae (emu). Its description in RNAcentral is "lncRNA (ENSDNVG00000014137.1)". Lineage: Eukaryota; Metazoa; Chordata; Aves; Casuariiformes; Dromaiidae. The record is from RNAcentral.
AUAUUGUUGAGUACUUUAUACAACAGCUAUAAGGAAGACCUGAUGUGAACAUUGUUCACAAGUCUGCAAGAAAAAAACUCAACCAACCAGCAUUUCAUUUUAUGACCUGAAAAUUAUCCACUGCUCUAGAGAGUGGAUUAACAGAGCCAACUAAACCCUUCACCCUGACAAAGAACUGGCGGGAGGACUAUAGAAACUCAUCCAAAAUUUUACCAACAUGAAUGCAGAGUAAUAGGUCAGUGAGAAGCAUUUCUGUAUUUUAAUGGCGCUCUUAGAAUUCAAUUCAAUUUAAAAUAAAAGUUGUUUUA